Molecule: unclassified non-coding RNA, 136 nt
Filed under: uncultured Inocybaceae
Lineage: Eukaryota; Fungi; Basidiomycota; Agaricomycetes; Agaricales
Description: sequence contains ITS1
Source: RNAcentral
UCGAACUAAACAGGCUGUUGCUGGCCGAGUGUGGCAUGUGCACGCUUGCGUCUUUUUAUUUCUCCAACUGUGCACAAAUUUUCUUCACAACCUCUGAAUGUAUUGGAAUGAUUUGAAUCUGGGGAAUAUAUAUAUA